This 72-nucleotide transfer RNA is filed under the name Camelus bactrianus (Bactrian camel). It matches the Rfam family "tRNA". From Rfam's summary of the family: Transfer RNA (tRNA) molecules are approximately 80 nucleotides in length. The record is from Rfam by way of RNAcentral. RNAcentral also lists the same sequence under 1 other name. Lineage: Eukaryota; Metazoa; Chordata; Mammalia; Artiodactyla; Camelidae.
GGGGGCACAGCUCAGUGGCAGAGCGCGUGCUUAGCAUGCAUGAGGUCCUGGGUUCAGUCCCCAGUAUUUCCA